CUCUGGGCUGAGGUGUUUACAGAGACCCCGGGCCUGGUCCAAGUGCUGACACCGUGGCUGAUGUCCCUGUUGGGUUAAGCAUUGAUGGUCCUGGUUGAUUCCGGCUUUGGACAGGGGAUGCCUAAGGGAACUGCUGGGGCCAGACAUGACAGAAACGAUUCAGUCUUUCCACCUGAGGUGGGGGCUGCCCUCCCACCCCAGACCCAGCUUCUCCUUUUCUGGCUUUCAAAGCCCGGACCAAACCUCCUCUCUGCCCUUGGCGCCAAGCUGCCCUCCCUCUUGCCCCAACUCCUUUGACCCUGUCUCUCUCCUCCAGGCUGAUCCCCCACCCCCUCUUCCAGCCUGCCCUUCCUCUGUGAGGGAUGGGGUGGGGGGGGUGGGCUGAGCCAGUCUUCCCUGCCCCUUCCACUGCUCUGAGGUGGUCCCGGCUCCUCCUAGGUGAGACAGAAAUCCUGAAGGGUGAGGCCUGGCACUCUGGGUCUCUGCCCUCCCAGUGCCCCGGAAGUAGGGGAGGGCCUGGCCAGGCGGCUCCAGGCAUCCCCAACCCCUGCUCAUCACAUUCUUCCCAGGACCCUACAGAUCUCUCUUGAGCAGUCUCCCCAGGGAGAGAGACAACCUUCACCCAGUAGAGCCCUCAAACCCACCAGAUCCCCCUGCUUCCAAAUCCACCCGGCCCGGACGCCACCAUCUUUCUACAAACACUGCAGGAGCCUCCCCACUGACCGCCCCUCUCUCACCUCUCUGCCCCUUCUCCACCCGGCAUCCAAGAGACUUGGAAAAUGCUACUCCAGUUCUGCUGCUCCUCCACUGCAGCCCUCAGUGGCUCCCCAUUGCCCCCUCAAACUUGGCCCUCAGGCCAGCCAGAACCGGCCCUCCGGCCCCUCUGCCUCUUCUCCCCACUGCUUACCCCCAGCUCAGCCCACCACCCCUAACUACCACUUCUCUUCCCCACAUGCCUCGGCCUCACCCUGGCCUCCAAGCCUCUGCACAAGGCUAUUCCCUCUUAUGGGAUGCCCUUCCCACUUCUUCAUGUGGCUCAGCUCAGACACCUCUUUGCAGGCAGGAGGCUCCUGUCAGUCUCCCCGUCGAGGUGCUGUCUUGGCCCUGCAUGUGGCCCUGGGACUGGCACUUGGCCUCCACUGGAGGCAGCUGUGUUGCACUGAGUGGGCCUGGGAUGACCAGAGACUAACAUUCACCUACCAGGCUGGCUGGCAGCAGCGAAGAAACAGAGCCCGGAGUUAG
This 1242-nucleotide long non-coding RNA is filed under the name Bos indicus x Bos taurus (hybrid cattle). RNAcentral's name for it is "lncRNA (ENSBIXG00005022897.1)". The record is from RNAcentral. Lineage: Eukaryota; Metazoa; Chordata; Mammalia; Artiodactyla; Bovidae.